Gallus gallus (chicken) is the source of this 1141-nucleotide long non-coding RNA. The record is from Ensembl. Lineage: Eukaryota; Metazoa; Chordata; Aves; Galliformes; Phasianidae.
CCCCCAGGAGCCCAGUGUUGGCUUGUUCUGGUCAAAACACUGCAAUCAGCCAGAGAACUUGUACUGCCCCUCUGUAUAAGAUUUGGACCCUCUUACAUUCUGCUGAAAGCACCUUUGGAAAGGAACAGUACCUUAUUCCUGGGGCACAGGUAGAGACGCUGGAGGGGUCCCCCAAAUGCAGGCAGGAAUUUGUAUCACAAAUAAGGCACCUUUGUCUUCUACGCCUUCAAUACAAGCUGCUAAAAAUGGGCUUUUCUUUCAGCCCAGAGGACAAAAACUUAAAAACGAAACAACAAACCCAACCAUCUCCCUGUGCCUGUGCUGCCACCUCCCUCUCUCUCCUCUGCCUGCGGCAGGCAGCUCGGGCUGUGAGGACCCCGUGCCGAGACUGAGGAAGCAACUGUAUAUACGGAUGGGAGACAAGCUGGGUGCUCAUCAGGAGGAAACAGCCUCGUGCUGCCAUCACUGGAAGGAGCAUAGAUCACUCUCCCCAGCCUGGAGCAGCUGAGAUGCAGCCAUGUGCUGCCCGCUGACAUCUCAGUGACAGCAGAUGAGUCUCCAAGAGAGGGGCAGCAAGGUUGGAAAGCUUUCAGUGGCUUCCAGAUGGGGCCCUUUCCCACCUGUACACCCUAGGACGCUGAAAACUACUGCAAGCCAGGAGGCCUCACACAGGAACUCAACAACCCUAGCAAGAAUAUAAUUGCCUUCAGAGCUAGCAGUACCGGCAUGAGAGACUGCCUUCAGUAGGAACAGACUUUCCACCAUCUCACGCCUCACCCAGGUGCAUGACUUCGUUUGCAAAGGCCCAAGGGAGUGAAACAGCUCUGUAAGGCCUUAGGAGAAGGGAAAUUGCUAUCAGACUCCUGUUGAUUCCACAGCCCACCAAGGACGCUGCUGGCUUCUACAGGCCAUCCCCCAUCUGUUGGAAUAGCGGGAAGUUUUGCUUUAGCAAUAAAAAAUAAAAAAUGCUGGAGUCCAACUGGUGACUGAAGUCUGGUGCCAGGCUCUGCUGCAGAGACAUCACAGCUGCCUACAGUGCCUGCUCUGAAAGAGGUGCUCAUUAAACAUUUGCCUUGGGUUUAUUUUCCCUGUUUGCUGUACCCAAGCAUUCACAACAAAAAUUCCAUAAGGGAGAGCUGCA